AUCUGGUUUAUGAGACAACUAUAAAAAAUGCCAUAAUUUUGUGCACCAAACUAAGAGAACUUUUUAUCAUGAGAUAUCAGAGAGAAAGAGAGUCAAAAAUUCUUCUUUGGGGAGUGAGGUUUGGGUGGGUUUCCUUCUUCCUUGACAUGAACAAAAAAAGAGACCGAUCUCUUCUUGGGUGAGCGACCUAGAACUGUUCUAGAAUUUUGGAUGAGAAAAAUCAAAG
RNAcentral lists this long non-coding RNA (226 nucleotides) under Elaeis guineensis (African oil palm). RNAcentral's name for it is "long non-coding RNA (EGUI_LNC076931)". The record is from RNAcentral. Lineage: Eukaryota; Viridiplantae; Streptophyta; Magnoliopsida; Arecales; Arecaceae.